RNAcentral lists this long non-coding RNA (3684 nucleotides) under Xyrichtys novacula (pearly razorfish). Lineage: Eukaryota; Metazoa; Chordata; Actinopteri; Labriformes; Labridae. The record is from RNAcentral.
CGACAGAGGGAGUAGAAGAGGAAGACCCUGAAGGCACCACAACGUGUCACCUUAUCAGCCACCAACACUCAGGCCUCCAUAAAGACCCCUGCCUCGGUGCAUCAUCCUGAUCUCCAAUGGCCUUCCUCAUGCAGCCGAAGGUAAUCAUGUGUUUGAUCAUAUCGCCAUCAACAUGCGGACUCUGAUAUGAAAUUGACACACAUUGGGGGGGAAUAUAUCCAGGCAUAAGGAUGAAGCUACAAGAAGAAGACGAGCACAGAGCUGUUUUGAGGUGCAUGGAGGCCAUUUUUCUCUGGGGUCAUUCUCAGGGUAUGUGUUUCAAAUAUUAGGGCGUGUGACAAAUUGCCACCAAUCUAUUGCUUCUGGGAAAACAACAAUGACGAUUCGCUGUGGAAAUCUUUUGGGGAUGCAGGUUAUAUUUAGCUACCUCCAGACAUGGGUUGUUAUGAGUGUUUUAGGCCUUUAGGUUCUCAGGUAUCAAGGUCAUUGACAUUCAAAGACUGAUCCACAGAGGCAACUCAGCUUGGUUGUAAACUAGCAGAUGUGCAGAGCCGGGAAUAUUAGUCUGUGUGGGUUAUGAGGUAUCAAGGAUCUUGACAAACUCAGGAGAAAGUAAGUCAGUUUGCACAAGCUGGGGGCAGUCGGCUUGGCAACUCCGCACGAAAAUCUGUUAAUGCGUGAGGGGUGAAGACACGAAUCUGCAAGACGUGUGAGACGGGGACAGACCUGACCCAACCUCAGCCGCAGUCAAACAUGUUUGAAUUUUUUUGCUGAAUUUGGAUGCUAUUGUGUGGUGUUAACUGGUUACUUUAAACACGUGAUGCCAACAACCAGUGAGAAAGAGAGGGCGGGACACAGGAAACAGCAUGACAAUAGAUGACAGUGUAACCCCAAAUUUCCACUGCAUCCGGAACGGCUAUGAAGGCCAUAACCGCCGGUCGCAGCUGAUCGUAACCAUUAAAGUAAAUGUGUCAAUUUCCACCGGCUUCUUUCCGUUCAGCUGCCAAUCGCCGGACUCCGCAUGCUGAUCGCAAGUGUUCUAUUUUUUCUGGAUGCCGGAGCAUGCCGGAUUAAUUCAGCACAGAUUAGUCUGUGCUGGAAAGGAAGUCCGGCACAGACCCAAAAUAAAACAUCCGGCUUCUUUUCAAAAUAAAACACUGCAUGUUUCAAGCGGAUCGUAUUUCACACAAUGCAAACGGGCGGGGACAACUAAGUGAAAGGUUUUCAGACAGCAUUUCACCCCAAUGAUACCAUGGGUGAGGGGAUGCAAAUUUUAGAAGUCCAGAAGUGGAUUUCCUCCUAUUGAAGAACAAAAUCUACUGCUUUCAUGGUUAGCCUCUGUGGCUAAGAAACAACUCGUUAUCGCGCGGUUGCACGUGAAUUCACAGGUUUUUGUAAGUUCUUGCAAUAACCACUGUUAGGCCUGUCGCGAUAAUCAAUAAAUCGCCUUAUCGCUCGGUAAAUAAAAACGAGGUCGGUCAUUUUGCCAGCCUCGAUAAUUUACGUGCGUUUGUUUUCCUCCUCUCUCGCUACCAAACACGCUGGAUGAGAGAAGAGGUCUCACUCUGCGCAUUGUUCUCGGCACCUGGGGGCGUUGGCUCUAUAGCGGAAUGAACGCAGUGAGUGAACCCUCCUGUCAGUCAUUCAGUCUCUUUGUCACGAGGGGGCUGGCGCGCACAUGCACACAGACACAGACUUUUGGAUACAGUGCUGCAAGUGAGCGUCGUGAGUGAAAAGCAAGCUAACAGAAUGAACACGGCAGCUUUAGUGUCUAAACCGAACGCAACAGCCCAAAGUGUGGGAAUAUUUCGGCUUUAAACCAGUUUUGUUUUCGUCAACCACAAAACUCCACGUGUGCGCGCGCUCGCGCGUGUGUGUCUGUGUGUUGGAGGAGCACAGCAGGCUGAUGAGAGCUGUCAGAGCGGACUGAAGCUGCUCCUAUAUGUUUAGCGUUUAACUGACUGAGUUUUGCAACUCUGUUCGUCAUUUUCGUCUCGUCCCAUCAACGUAAACGCACUUUCGUCUCGUCACAUUUUAGUCAUCUCCUACUCAUGUUUAGCUGUCAUAUAAUAUCAUUAUCUAUAAUUUAAAAAACGGUGUCAAUAAUAUCGUUUAUUGGCAAUAAUUUGUAGCCCAAUUAUCGUCCAGCAAAAUUUGUUAUCGUGACAGGCCUAACCACUGUUGAUCCGCCACAAAAUUCGUCUCACAAACAGAUCCGGUAGGAAUUGACGUACGGCAAAAAUCGGAGUCGUUGCGGAUAUGGUGGAAAUCUCGGCUUAGAAUCGGCUCUUUAGUUGACUGCUCAAGGACAACCAGAGAAAUCUGACAGGAAGUAGCGGGAACAUGAAAUCAGUCUUCUUAAAGUUUUAUUGGUGGUUGGCAAACAGCAAAUGGAUGCAUAACCAGAUCAGAUCUGUGUUGAGACUAAGAGUGUUGUCAAAUCUGUCUCUUAGUUUCUAUGGAUACUUAACUUUAGGGGUGUCCCGAUACAACUUCUUAAUUUUCCAUACGAUACUGAUAUUGUAGCCUUCUGUAUUGGAUGAUACCGAUAUUGAUCUGAUAUUGGCACAAACUUGUGCGUGACAAGUUUUGCACUCAGCUGCAAAGUCUUUUUCGGACUUUAACGAAAAAUACCGCCAUGUGGCCGACAUCACUCCUACUUCUUGCUGCUUUGUUAGUACCUUAGUACACACUGUUGUUGUGAUUACGUGGGCUCUUCAUGCUAGAUCCAGGCGAUCCAGACGAACAUCUGACAUCAAUAUAGUAUCAGGACAUCCCUACUGAGGUUUCACUUUUUUCACUGAUUUCUGAUACUUAAUUGCCACUGUAGUAGGGUGACCAUAUUCUGACUUUCAAAAAGAGGACACGACUACGCAAAGGUGGAGUCACAGAGUCACACAAAGAUAAUUUUGAGUUUUUCGGGUCAGAUCGAGUGUCUUUUUCAUGCUUCUAACUCAGUAAGUCCACAUGACACACAUUUAAAACCGUGAACAUUUGAAGAAUUUUAUAGACUUCCUCAGACAAACCCGGACAGCCCCCCAAAAAACAGGACAUGUCCGGGUAAAAGAGGACGUAGGAUCACCCUUGACUGUAGUGUUUAGUUAUGUCUUUAAAACUUUUAUCUGUUGUUAAUUUAUCUUCUCAUUUUCUGUCUGUUCCCCUUCGUAAAAGUGGGCCCACUGAGCUACAAAUUGUGGAUGAUUUAACAACGAUGAAUAAUUGCGUUUUUCCUUAAACAGAAUCAGUUUUGUUUUCAUAUAUGGAGUUUAAAGUGAAUAAUGGAUUUCUUCGCUCCAUCUAUUCUCCAGACACUUCUUCCACACACACACACACACACACCCUUUUUCCAGCUCCCUAAAGUUCUUCACUUGCUCUACCAUAACAGUUUGGUAAUUAGGACCAACAGCUGCGAUUGCUGACACAACUAGUCAGCAUGUCACAGUCGAGCAGAUUCCUCACACUUCCUUUCACCCAUUCAUUUUACAGUCUGCUGCCGGCGCUCCCUUUUUUUUCUCUUCCUCCAAUCCCUUUUAACAUGACAAAUUGGGAUCAGAGAAUGAAUGCUAAAUGUUUUUGUUUUUCUCUGACUUCGCCAAAAGUAGGUCCCCUUUCAUCGCUUCAGUGGAGGGAAAAUUUCACGACAUACAUGAGGGGCUGUGUGAUGUGCCAAGACAACAACAGGUG